GACGAACGCUGGCGGCGUGCUUAACACAUGCAGGUCGAACGGUGAAGCGCCUUCCUUUUUGGUGGGUGUGGAUGAGUGGCGAACGGGUGAGUAACACGUGAGUAACCUGCCCCCUUCUUCUGGAUAACCGCAUGAAAGUGUGGCUAAUACGGGAUAUUCUGGGUCUGUCGCAUGAUGGGUCUGGGAAAGAUAUUGUUUCGGUGGGGGAUGGGCUCGCGGCCUAUCAGCUUGUUGGUGGGGUGAUGGCCUACCAAGGCGGUGACGGGUAGCCGGCCUGAGAGGGUGGACGGUCACACUGGGACUGAGACACGGCCCAGACUCCUACGGGAGGCAGCAGUGGGGAAUAGUGCACAAUGGGCGCAAGCCUGAUGCAGCGACGCCGCGUGAGGGAUGGAGGCCUUCGGGUUGUGAACCUCUUUCGCCAGUGAAGCAGGCCUGCCUCGUUUGUGGGUGGGUUGACGGUAGCUGGAUAAGAAGCGCCGGCUAACUACGUG
Molecule: ribosomal RNA, 494 nt
Filed under: uncultured bacterium
Lineage: Bacteria
Description: partial 16S ribosomal RNA
Rfam family: Bacterial small subunit ribosomal RNA
Source: RNAcentral